AGACCGGUUUACUGGUCGUGCUUUUGUACGUACUGGUAUAAUCGGUUUCUCUUUUCUGACGAACUAUAAUGCCAUUAAUUUGGUGUUAUAGGGAAUCAGGACUGUUACUUUGAAAAAAUUAGAGUGUUUAAAGCAGGCUCACGCUUGAAUACAUUAGCAUGGAAUAACGAAAUAGGACGUUUGAUUUUAUUUUGUUGGUUUCUAGGAUCGACGUAAUGAUUAAUAGGGAUAGUUGGGGGCAUUAGUAUUCAAUUGUCAGAGGUGAAAUUCUUGGAUUUAUUGAAGACUAACUACUGCGAAAGCAUUUGCCAAGGAUGUUUUCAUUAAUCAAGAACGAAAGUUAGGGGAUCGAAGACGAUCAGAUACCGUCGUAGUCUUAACCAUAAACUAUGCCGACUAGGGAUCGGAUGAUGUUAAUUUUAAUGACUCAUUCGGCACCUUACGGGAAACCAAAGUGUUUGGGUUCCGGGGGGAGUAUGGUCGCAAGGCUGAAACUUAAAGGAAUUGACGGAAGGGCACCACCAGGGGUGGAGCCUGCGGCUUAAUUUGACUCAACACGGGGAAACUCACCAGGUCCAGACAUAGUAAGGAUUGACAGAUUGAGAGC
This 607-nucleotide ribosomal RNA is filed under the name Glomus sp. MS. RNAcentral describes it as "SSU rRNA". It matches the Rfam family "Eukaryotic small subunit ribosomal RNA", at positions 648 to 1255 of the family's 1831-position model. Lineage: Eukaryota; Fungi; Glomeromycota; Glomeromycetes; Glomerales; Glomeraceae. The record is from RNAcentral.